GGGGGGGGGGGGGGGGGGGGGGGGGGGGGGGGGGGGGGGGGGGGGGGGGGGGGGCGGGGGGCUGGGGUGGUAGGGGCGGACGGGGGAGGGAGGGGUGGAUAGGGUACCUAUGAGGCUGGGGGAACUUCGGGAAGCGGGGGCGAAUACAGGAUGAUAUUUUGAACCGCGUGGUUCAAGGUGGGAGGCGGUACUUGCUGUCACUUAUAGCUGGGUCCGCGCUGCCUUAGCUAGUUGGUAAGGUAAGGGCUUACCAAGGCAACGAUGCAUAGCCGACCUGAGAGGGUGAUCGGCCACACUGGAACUGAGACACGGUCCAGACUCCUACGGGAGGCAGCAGUAGGGAAUCUUCCGCAAUGGGCGAAAGCCUGACGGAGCAACGCCGCGUGAGUGAUGAAGGUCUUCGGAUCGUAAAACUCUGUUAUUAGGGAAGAACAUAUGUGUAAGUAACUGUGCACAUCUUGACGGUACCUAAUCAGAAAGCCACGGCUAACUACGUG
Molecule: ribosomal RNA, 497 nt
Filed under: uncultured bacterium
Lineage: Bacteria
Description: partial 16S ribosomal RNA
Rfam family: Bacterial small subunit ribosomal RNA (bases 54-497)
Source: RNAcentral